Molecule: long non-coding RNA, 354 nt
Organism: Hyaena hyaena (striped hyena)
Lineage: Eukaryota; Metazoa; Chordata; Mammalia; Carnivora; Hyaenidae
Exons: 3
Source: RefSeq, a predicted model, not a curated record
CAGCAAGAUCCAGUCACACAGGAAAGAGCCCUGGGCCAGCAAGACCAGCAGGCCUUGAUGAGUGUGCGGGUGGCACUGCCGUUUACCUUGUAAUACUUGGCAAACCUGGGACAGCAUGACCCUGAAGAGCAUGGCGGUGGGCACCCACCCAUCACCCAAGACGAGAAGCUCCAAGACUCCAGUGACCCCUGAUCUGGACCUUGAAGCACCUGCCCUGUUAUUUUAGAGCCACUACAACCCGGGCAGACGAGGACCCAGGCAUCCCAAGGCCAAGGGCCAGGGUUGGCCAAGACUGCAAAGGGGGCUGGCUGUAAUGGAGACCCGCCACUCGCCGCUAGGAGCCAGCACCGGAGG